GAUGAACGCUAGCUACAGGCUUAACACAUGCAAGUCGAGGGGCAGCAUGACCUAGCAAUAGGUUGAUGGCGACCGGCGCACGGGUGAGUAACACGUAUCCAACCUACCGGUUAUUCCGGGAUAGCCUUUCGAAAGAAAGAUUAAUACCGGAUAGUAUAACGAGAAGGCAUCUUCUUGUUAUUAAAGAAUUUCGAUAACCGAUGGGGAUGCGUUCCAUUAGUUUGUUGGCGGGGUAACGGCCCACCAAGACAUCGAUGGAUAGGGGUUCUGAGAGGAAGGUCCCCCACAUUGGAACUGAGACACGGUCCAAACUCCUACGGGAGGCAGCAGUGAGGAAUAUUGGUCAAUGGACGAGAGUCUGAACCAGCCAAGUAGCGUGAAGGAUGACUGCCCUAUGGGUUGUAAACUUCUUUUAUAUGGGAAUAAAGUGAGCCACGUGUGGCUUUUUGUAUGUACCAUACGAAUAAGGA
Molecule: ribosomal RNA, 470 nt
Filed under: uncultured bacterium
Lineage: Bacteria
Description: bacterial SSU rRNA
Rfam family: Bacterial small subunit ribosomal RNA
Source: RNAcentral